Molecule: ribosomal RNA, 677 nt
Filed under: uncultured organism
Description: bacterial SSU rRNA
Rfam family: Bacterial small subunit ribosomal RNA
Source: RNAcentral
GGCUUAGAGUUUGAUCAUGGCUCAGGAUAAACGCUGGCGGCGCACAUAAGACAUGCAAGUCGAACGGAAGUCGUUAUAAAUGAAUAGAAGAUUUAUCUGAUUGAAGUUUAUAACAAUGGCUUUAGUGGCGGACUGGUGAGUAACGCGUAAGUAAUCUGCCUAUUAGAGGGGAAUAACAAUGAGAAAUCAUUGCUAAUACCGCAUAUGCCAUAGUGAAGGCAUCUUCAUAGUGGGAAAGGAGCAAUCCGCUAAUAGAUGAACUUGCGUCUGAUUAGUUAGUUGGUGGGGUAACGGCCUACCAAGACGACGAUCAGUAGCCGGACUGAGAGGUUGAACGGCCACAUUGGGACUGAGAUACGGCCCAGACUCCUACGGGAGGCAGCAGUCGGGAAUAUUGCGCAAUGGAGGAAACUCUGACGCAGUGACGCCGCGUAUAGGAAGAAGGUUUUCGGAUUGUAAACUAUUGUCGUUAGGGAAGAAAAAGGACAGUACCUAAGGAGGAAGCUCCGGCUAACUACGUGCCAGCAGCCGCGGUAAUACGUAGGGAGCGAGCGUUAUCCGGAUUUAUUGGGUGUAAAGGGUGCGUAGACGGGCUUAUAAGUUAGUUGUGAAAUCCCUCGGCUUAACUGAGGAACUGCAACUAAAACUGUAAGUCUUGAGUGCAGGAGAGGUAAGUG